Molecule: ribosomal RNA, 253 nt
Filed under: uncultured bacterium
Lineage: Bacteria
Description: partial 16S ribosomal RNA
Rfam family: Bacterial small subunit ribosomal RNA
Source: RNAcentral
UACGUAGGGGGCAAGCGUUGUCCGGAUUUAUUGGGCGUAAAGAGCGUGUAGGCGGUCAGGUAGGUCAGUUGUGAAAACUCGAGGCUCAACCUCGAGACGCCGGUUGAAACCAUCUGACUAGAGUCCGGAAGAGGAGAGUGGAAUUCCUGGUGUAGCGGUGAAAUGCGCAGAUAUCAGGAAGAACACCCGUGGCUAAGGCGGCUCUCUAGUACGGUACUGACGCUGAGACGCGAAAGCGUGGGGAGCGAACAGG